UGCCUGACCCCAGAGCCACGCUGACGCUGGUGUAUAUCUCUCUGCUAGCCUGCAAGAUGACCUGCUCCAAUAUCACAGCAGCAGCGAUCCCAGCAGUCUCCUCUCCCUCGACCUUAAGACAUGUACUGUAUGAUAAUGUAUAGAACUCUUUAUAUGGGUGCUCUGUUCAGAUCUAUCUAUCUUAGAGCUGUGGGGACUACAAGCAUCACUUACAUUAUCAUAUGUACCUACUGCCGAACUACAAGUCCCAGCAUCACACACUGUGGGGGCACAAAAUUCGAACUUGCCUUCGGGAGACAGGGAUGAACUUACGCCACUGCACAGAGGACAUGCUGCUCCAGAUCCUGCCAGCCAGACUGAUAAUUCUGCUCUUUGCUGAUGCAGAAAAGGCUUUCAAUCAUGUUGACUGGGAUUUUAUGGCUGAUGUGCUGAGACAUGUGGGACUGGAUCCAAUCUGUUUGCAUCAUAGUCAUGGAGACGAUGGAAUACAAGGAAAGGCUUGAAAGACUAGGCAUGUUUACAUUGGAAAAGUGGAGACUAAGAGGGGAUAUGAUCAACAUCUACAAAUAUAUAAGGGGACAAUACACAGAGCUUGCGCGGGACCUGUUUUUGGUUAGAUCAACACAGAGGACUCGUGGACACUCGCUCAGGUUAGAGGAGAGGAGAUUCCGCACAAUACGUCGUAAAGGCUUCUUCACGGAUCAAAACUAAAUGUUUAUCCAUGAGGUAGGCAGUUGACUUGUUCCUCUUGUGGUACCCCGGAAAAUGGUGUGCAAGCCCUUUAAUGCAUGACUUACUGGUCCACAACAGCACAAGGGGAGAAAUCUGCACAGCAGGAGUUAAAGCAAGAACUCUAUUUCGAUCACAUGAUCAGGAAUGCUGGCCGCUGACUGGACGUAGGCAGCUUGGGGACCAGAGCCUUGUGGGAAGAGGAAGGAAGGCGGUUUGGUGAAGAGACGGGAGGUCCUGGGAUGCAUGCUACAUUCGGAGCUGAACACAAGUGAUAGUCGCGGGAUUCUGGGUGGUGAGAGCAGCGAUGCAGAGGUGCAAACAGCAGGCUGCCAUCUGAAAGACAAGUGCUGGGUCAGUGGGUGAUGAGAUGCUGCAACUGUAGCCUGGACACUGCCAGGCCUAAGGAAAGGCAUGGUCGACAUAGCCAUUUUAUGACUAUAAGGAAACAUUAAGAACUGGUCCAGCAAGUGAAAUCUCCUCUUUAGAGUGUCUGAGGGAGUACAUGAGUGAAUAAGUUACUAAAGCCCCGGGCAAGCUUGUUAUCCAGUUAAGGAAACACGAUCACCAGCUGUGCUGUUAAAGGGUACAGAUGGCAUAGUGCCACAUCCCCUAAGUUAAACACCGCAAUACCACAUUCCACAAGCUGCAAUGUGGUUAUUAAGGCAACCCUUUCCCCUUUCACAGACUGUGAGAAUAUUUAAGACUGAGUUGUGUUACAAUCACAAUAUAUACAUUCAUUCUAAAAGACUGAGUUUGUGGCAAGUUAAAGUACAGCCCUGUAAACAGUACAGAGACAGAGUUUGUUUCAUUGGAAAGACCCUCAUUGUUAAGUGAGUUUAAACAGUUUAGAGACACUAUCUUCCCUUCUCUAGCUACAUCCUUUUUGCAUGGAAUUGUAAACAUUUGUCUCCGUUAACAUCCAGGAAUUCCCCUUUUAUUUGUGUGCCAAUCCCCCAUUGACAUUUUGGCACUGCAAAAAUACUAUCUGAGCUCCAACGUUUAAUGCCAGUGAAGAUUGCCAUACCUUGGCUUGGGAAAGAUAGUGUUAUGAGCCACGGCUGUGGCUCAUUCCUGUUUUGCAUUUUGGUUAUGUAUUUUAUGGUAUACUUCUGUUUAUGUUCCCCGUGGGUGUCAUGGGGUGCUCGGAGCUCACCCUUAAGGAGAGGAUACUGUUAUGAACCACAGGUAGUGGUUCAUUCCUAUUUUAUGUUUUUAGUUCUCUUGCAGGCCAGGAUUUCCCUUUGCUUUGGUUUAGAAGAUUAUUGUUUUCUGUCAGUGGUGAGUCUGUGUAAUUGCAGCUUGUUUUCAUGUGGUUGGCCUCACCUGUCUGCUAAUUGCAUCUUGUCAGUUUGGAGUCAUGCAACAGGGCAGCUGCACGACAUAAUUAAUUAGGCCUCUCUGUUAUAUGCUGGCUCAGUGCAAUUCACAGAUGCUGGUGAUAUUUCCUGGGUUCCAGAGUUCUUGAGUUCUGAGCUGAUCCAUGCCAGUGCCUGAGCUCCUGUCUAGCAGUGUCUGUCUAGCUGCUUCCGGUGUCGGUUCCUGUGUCGAUUCCUGUGUCAGUUCCUGUGUCUGAUUCCGUGUCCUGCCGUGAAGCAUUCCUGUCGAGAAGUCCUGUGGCUUUGCCUAUGCCUGGUCGAGUUUUUGGCUUCUUGGUGUCCACCGGUCUGUCGUUUGGGAUUCUGCCUGUCCUCCAGUUCUGAGAGCCUGUGUCGGCAGCAUUGGGGGUUCCUGUCCGUUUGCCAGUAUUUGUACCGGUUCUGUGAGUAGCGGCUUUGCCGCGUCCGUCGGCCUAGGCCACUGUAUUCCUUUGUUAUAUUUAGUUACUGGUGUUUUGCAGAGGGUUCUGCUUAUGCUGUCACCGCCGGUACACAAAAGUAUUGUGUCGGCGUGUGGACAGCAUUUCCUUUGGUUGUUCUUUUCCUUUGGCGGCAAGCCGCACAUACAUUUAGUUUUAGGCUAGUCAGUAGCCCCUGGCUUUGGUUGUUUCAGUUAGAGGUCCCCUUGUUAUUACCCUGUCUCAGUUCACGCUUUGUCUCCCUUUAAGACCUGCAGGGGCAUCGGAGUUGGACAGACCUAAUCCGCCCUUCAAACGCGGCUGCCAUGGGCCCAAGAAACCAUAGUCAUGCAGGCGUGAACUGACCACACGGAUAAAACAACGGAGGUAGGGUGCUAGGGGCUAUUUCCACACCACACCUUGUUCCAGCGUCACGUUCUGGUGCUCAGGACUCACUACGCAACAUCUCCCUUAUUCUGAGCACCAGGAACCUAACAGAUAGAAUGUUAGUGUUUGCUAUGAUUGAUUGUGUUUUUCAUUACUCUCCUCAUCUCCACAUUAUAAACUGUGAUUUCAAAGACAACAAUUGUGAUUCUUAUUAACGUGUUCAUCUGCGAUUCCAAUGAUAUUCUGCCAUUCUUUUGUGAUUCCAAUUAAAUGUCUUUUGCAUAUUGAAUGCUCGUUUGUGUUGUGAAAUGUAGCCAAUUGUCUGUUCUUUGUUCAUCUUUUAUGCCCAAAUUCUUCUUUUUGUGAUUAUUCGAAUUUAAUGCCAAGUAAUCAAUCAUCAGUUUCAAUCCAGAGUUUAUUGCAGCUCAAUAAAGACAUCCUGUUAGAAUAUCUGACUCACUCCUGUUUCGUAUCAAUCUAUCCUACGUCUCUGAACACAGUACUACAGGACAAGUUACGAGGAGAAGCAUUUCAAGGGAAAGGUCCAUCACAUAGCCACCCAACACUUGUGAUACCUCUCUCAACCACUUAGACAUACCCGCCAACCUCGGGGUGUUACACGUUUACCUCCCCUUGAGCAGGUUGUUAUCGUUCUGUAGUAUUUGUUUCUGCACUUUUACUUGUUCAAUUUUUUUAAUUGUAAU
Molecule: long non-coding RNA, 3597 nt
Organism: Pseudophryne corroboree (corroboree frog)
Lineage: Eukaryota; Metazoa; Chordata; Amphibia; Anura; Myobatrachidae
Exons: 4
Source: RefSeq, a predicted model, not a curated record